CAGCAGCAGCCGCGGGAAAACAGAGGGUGCGAGCGUUAAUCGGAUUUACUGGGCGUAAAGCGUGCGUAGGCGGCUUUUUAAGUCGGAUGUGAAAUCCCUGAGCUUAACUUAGGAAUUGCAUUCGAUACUGGGAAGAUAGAGUAUGGGAGAGGAUGGUAGAAUUCCAGGUGUAGCGGUGAAAUGCGUAGAGAUCUGGAGGAAUACCGAUGGCGAAGGCAGCCAUCUGGCCUAAUACUGACGCUGAGGUACGAAAGCAUGGGGAGCAAACAGGAUUAGAUACCCCUGUAGUCCCUGUCUCUUAUAC
RNAcentral lists this ribosomal RNA (304 nucleotides) under uncultured bacterium. Its description in RNAcentral is "partial 16S ribosomal RNA". It matches the Rfam family "Bacterial small subunit ribosomal RNA", at positions 506 to 807 of the family's 1533-position model. The record is from RNAcentral.